Molecule: non-coding RNA, 125 nt
Organism: Brachypodium distachyon (stiff brome)
Lineage: Eukaryota; Viridiplantae; Streptophyta; Magnoliopsida; Poales; Poaceae
Source: Rfam
AUACUACUCCCUCCGACUCAUAUUACUUGUCGAAAUAUCACAUGUAUCUACACGUUUUUUAAACAUAGAUACAUCCAUAUUUGGACAAAUUUGAGACAAGUAAUAUGGGUCGGAGGGAGUAGCAU